AUUUAAAUUUUUAUUUAAAUUAUUAAUUAGUAAAUGAUUAAAUAAAGAAAUUUUAAUUUUAUUAACAUUUAAGAAAAAAUAUUUAUAAUUAUAGAUAAUUAAGUAUUGUGAAAGAAAAUAUUUAAAUAUUUAAAAGAAAAAUUUAAAUUUUGUACCUUGUGUAUCAGGGUUAAUUAAAAUUAAAUAAAAAAUUUUAUUAUCUCGAAUUUAAAAGAGUUAAUUAAUUAUAUAUUUUAUUGUAAAAUAAAUAUUUAUAAUUUUUAAUUGGAAAUGAAAUGUUAUUCGUUUUUAAAUAUAUCUAGUUUUUGAAGAAAAAAAUUUAAUUUUAUUAUUAAUAAUUAAAAUUUUAAUUUAUUAAUUUUUUAUUAUUAAUAUUAACUUUUUUUAGGGAUAAGCUUAAAUUAAGAUAAUUAUAAUAUAUAAUUUAUUAAAAUAAUUUAUAGGAUUAUAAAUUUCUAUAAAUAAAAAAAUGUUAUAAUUAAUUAUUAGUAUUUUAGUAUUUUUAUUUUAUUUAAAUAUUUUAUUCAAAUAUAAAAUUAAAUAUAAUAAUUUUAGUAAUAAUGAUUAAAUUAGUAUAUUAUUUUGUAAUUUUAAAUUUUAAAAUUUAAGGUUAAUUUAAGGAAUUCGGCAAAUUUAUUUUUCACCUGUUUAAUAAAAACAUGUCCUUUUGAUUAUAAUUUAAGGUCUAAUCUGCCCACUGAGAAUUUAAAUGGCCGCGGUAUUUUGACCGUGCAAAGGUAGCAUAAUAAUUAGUUUUUUAAUUGAAAGCUGGAAUGAAAGAUUGGAUGAGAAAAUAGCUGUCUCAAGUUAAAUUUAAUAUAAUUUUAUUUUUAAGUUAAAAAGCUUAAAUAAUUUUAAAAGACGAGAAGACCCUAUAGAGUUUUAUAAUUAAUAAUAAUUUAAAUUAUUUGUUUUAAAUAUUUAGAUGAAUAUUAAUUAUUUUGUUGGGGUGACAAAAAAAUUUAAUUAACUUUUUUUUUAUUUAAAUACAAAUAUGUAAUUUUUUGAUCCAAAAUUUUUGAUUAUAAGAUAAAAUUACCUUAGGGAUAACAGCGUAAUUUUUUUUGAGAGUUCUUAUCGAAAAAAAAGAUUGCGACCUCGAUGUUGGAUUAAAGUUAAAAUUUGGUGUAGAAGCUAAAUAUUUAGGUCUGUUCGACCUUUAAAACUUUACAUGAUCUGAGUUUAAACCGGUGUGAGCCAGGUUGGUUUCUAUCUUUAAUAAAUUAAAAUAUUUUAGUACGAAAGGACCAAGUAUUUAUUAAAUUAAUUUUAUUUUGAAUAUUAUU
Molecule: ribosomal RNA, 1286 nt
Filed under: Cladiscus yunnanus
Lineage: Eukaryota; Metazoa; Arthropoda; Insecta; Coleoptera; Cleridae
Description: 16S ribosomal RNA
Rfam family: Archaeal large subunit ribosomal RNA (bases 1046-1204)
Source: RNAcentral